GAUGAACGCUGGCGGCGUGCCUAAUACAUGCAAGUCGAGCGAACGGACGAGAAGCUUGCUUCUCUGAUGUUAGCAGCGGACGGGUGAGUAACACGUGGAUAACCUACCUAUAAGACUGGGAUAACUUCGGGAAACCGGAGCUAAUACCGGAUAAUAUUUUGAACCGCAUGGUUCAAAAGUGAAAGACGGUCUUGCUGUCACUUAUAGAUGGAUCCGCGCUGCAUUAGCUAGUUGGUAAGGUAACGGCUUACCAAGGCAACGAUGCAUAGCCGACCUGAGAGGGUGAUCGGCCACACUGGAACUGAGACACGGUCCAGACUCCUACGGGAGGCAGCAGUAGGGAAUCUUCCGCAAUGGGCGAAAGCCUGACGGAGCAACGCCGCGUGAGUGAUGAAGGUCUUCGGAUCGUAAAACUCUGUUAUUAGGGAAGAACAUAUGUGUAAGUAACUGUGCACAUCGUGACGGUACCUAAUCAGAAAGCCACGGCUAACUACGUG
RNAcentral lists this ribosomal RNA (497 nucleotides) under uncultured bacterium. Its description in RNAcentral is "partial 16S ribosomal RNA". It matches the Rfam family "Bacterial small subunit ribosomal RNA", at positions 28 to 507 of the family's 1533-position model. The record is from RNAcentral.